RNAcentral lists this transfer RNA (64 nucleotides) under Mileewa mira. RNAcentral describes it as "tRNA-Asn". Lineage: Eukaryota; Metazoa; Arthropoda; Insecta; Hemiptera; Cicadellidae. The record is from RNAcentral.
UUAAUUGAAGCUAAAUGGAGGCAUCUUAAUGUUAAUAAGAAAAAUGAAUUAAUUUCCAAUUAAA